RNAcentral lists this ribosomal RNA (1160 nucleotides) under uncultured bacterium. RNAcentral describes it as "bacterial SSU rRNA". It matches the Rfam family "Bacterial small subunit ribosomal RNA", at positions 28 to 1235 of the family's 1533-position model. The record is from RNAcentral.
AACGUACGCUGGCGGCACGCCUAACACAUGCAAGUCGAACGAAGUAGCAAUACUUAGUGGCAGACGGGUGAGUAACAUGUAGGUAUCUGCCCUUUGGCCUGGAAUAACACGAGGAAACUUGUGCUAAUACCGGAUAAGUCUUUACGGAGAAAGCUUUAUGCACCAUUGGAUGAGCCUGCACUUGAUUAGUUUGUUGGUGGGGUAAUGGCCUACCAAGACUGUGAUCAAUAGCUGAUUUGAGAGGAUGAUCAGCCACAUUGGGACUGAGACACGGCCCAAACUCCUACGGGAGGCAGCAGUGGGGAAUCUUGCACAAUGGAGGAAACUCUGAUGCAGCGAUGCCGCGUGAGUGAAGAAGGCCCUUGGGUUGUAAAGCUCUUUCGUCGGGGAAGAAAAUGACUGUACCCGAAUAAGAAGGUCCGGCUAACUUCGUGCCAGCAGCCGCGGUAAUACGAAGGGACCUAGCGUAGUUCGGAAUUACUGGGCUUAAAGAGUUCGUAGGUGGUUGAAAAAGUUAGUGGUGAAAUCCCAGAGCUUAACUCUGGAACUGCCAUUAAAACUUUUCAGCUAGAGUAUGAUAGAGGAAAGCAGAAUUUCUAGUGUAGAGGUGAAAUUCGUAGAUAUUAGAAAGAAUACCAAUUGCGAAGGCAGCUUCUGGAUCAUUACUGACACUGAGGAACGAAAGCAUGGGUAGCGAAGAGGAUUAGAUACCCUCGUAGUCCAUGCCGUAAACGAUGUGUGUUAGACGUUGGAAAUUUAUUUUCAAUGUCGCAGGGAAACCGAUAAACACACCGCCUGGGGAGUACGACCGCAAGGUUAAAACUCAAAUGAAUUGACGGGGACCCGCACAAGUAGUGGAGCAUGUGGUUUAAUUCGAAGAUACGCGCAGAACCUUACCAACACUUGACAUGUUCGUCGCGACUCUAAGAGAUUAGAGUUUUCGGUUCGGCCGGACGAAACACAGGUGCUGCAUGGCUGUCGUCAGCUCGUGUCGUGAGAUGUUGGGUUAAGUCCCGCAACGAGCGCAACCCUCACUUUUAGUUGCCAUCAUUAAGUUGGGCACUCUGAAAGAACUGCCAGUGAUAAGCUGGAGGAAGGUGGGGAUGACGUCAAGUCCUCAUGGCCCUUACGUGUUGGGCUACACACGUGCUACAAUGGCG